Molecule: RNA transcript, 2936 nt
Organism: Dermacentor albipictus
Lineage: Eukaryota; Metazoa; Arthropoda; Arachnida; Ixodida; Ixodidae
Source: RefSeq, a predicted model, not a curated record
CGAAACAUGGUGUCAGAAGUGGGGUGCAAGGCUACCAGCUCAAGCGAAUGGUACCUGGGAUAGGCGAACGUGAGAAGCAACGACAUGGAGCACCUGAGGCAACCUGAACCGCUACGCUUGACAGCGGAUGGCGGAAGGAACUGGAAGCGGUUUCGUCAGCAGUUCGAGUUUUUUCUACAAGCGACGGUAUGCAAAGCCAAUCCAAGGUCCGAAGCGGCGAAGACGGCCCUGCUCCUCAGCGUGGCGGGGGAGGAAGCCUUGGACGUUUUCAACAAUUUUGUGUUUAGCGGAGAAGAGAACAAGGAAGACUACAAUACCGUGAUUGCCAAGUUCGAAGAAUACUGCACGGAGCAACAGAAUGAAAUCCACGAGCGAUACGUUUUCCGCUCUCGUAGUCAAGGUGAGGCGGAGCCUUUUGAGCAGUUUCUACGCGAGUUGAAAAAACAAGCGCAGUACUGCAACUUUGGGACUAUGGCAGACGAUAUGGUACGAGACCAAAUUGUCUUUGGAACAAACUCGCCAAGGCUUCGAGAAAAGAUGCUCAGGGACAAAAACCUGACCUUGGAAAAGGUUGUCAUCCUAUGCAAGGCGGCUGAAACAUCAACACGCCAAAACGAAUUCUGGCAGAAAACAAAGGAAGAACUCGAUAUGAACGCUGUCACUGCCAGCAAGAGCACUCCUACAGGGUCCAGGCACGACCUAAAAUGCAGCCGCUGCAACCGAAGGAAUGCCGUUAGACGCUGUCCAGCUUACGGCAAAGUCUGUUACUCGUGUAAUGGGCGAAAUCACUUCGCAUGUUGUUGCAGUGAGAAAGAGCGCGUAUACGAAGUACAGCAUCAAAACGACGACUUCGAAGUACUGAAUGUCGCCAGCAGCAGCGCAAGCAGAGAACGAGACUGGCAUGUGAACGCAUGCAUUGACGGCAAGUACGUCUCCUUUAAGGUGGACACAGGAUCGCAGGCAAACGUAUUGCCACUUUCAGUAUUUCGCAAGUUCAAGAUGACCAGUCUGAUGCCCAGUUGCGCCGUUCUGAGAUCCUAUGGGGGCAACAUGAUCAAGCAUGUUGGGAAGUUUUCAGCGCCAAUCAAGAUUGGCGACCGCGAGGCGUGCGCAAGUUUUUUUUGUGGUAAAGAAGGACCACAGCGCUAUCUUAGGCUUAGAAACCAGCGAGAAGCUAGGAAUCGUACAGCGCGCUGUUGACUGCGUGACGACGAGCAACACCGAAACAAUUGUGAAGGAGUUCCCACGUCUUUUCCAUGGAACAGGGCGCGCUCCGCGUGAAUACAAGAUUGCACUGCACAAGGAUGCCGUGCCAGUCGUCCAGCCAGCUAGAAGAGUGCCCCUGUCCCUGCGAGAGCCUCUCCGUACUGAACUAGGCAGAAUGGAAAAGGAAGGCAUCAUCCAGAAGGUCAGCAGCCCCACAGAUUGGGACUCAAGGCAGCUCCAGACACGAGUGACGUCGAGAUCCAUGCCGUCACGGUCGUUUCAGCACUCGUAAGUGAAACGACAGCUAGAAAACUUGCACAGGAAACGGCUCUCGAUCCACAUCUUGGCACUGUGUUAAGAAAGCUUGCGAAAGGACAGCCUGUCGACGGCCCCCUGAAACCAGUGGCCGCAGAGCUGUCAGUAGUAAAUGGCAUAUUAUUGAAAGGGACGAAAGUAGUCAUACCGACAAGCAUGCGCGGCGACAUAUUGAAACGGAUCCACGAAGGCCACCUGGGCCAGGUUAAGUGCAAAGCUAGAGCAAGGCAAAUGGUAUAUUGGCCGAACAUAAACUCUGACAUUCAGUCCCUGAUUGAAAGAUGUUCAACAUGCAAGACAUUUGCUUAUAAGCAGCCAUCGGAGCCUUUAAUCAUGCAACCUACGCCUACGCAGCCAUGGUACCGUAUCGGCGUCGAUCUUUUUCACUACUCGGGAAGGGAUUAUUUGUGUGCAUACGACUCGAUGUCCAAUUUCCCUGAGGUAGCGCUACUGUCCGAGACAACAGCCAGUGCCGUUAUCGAUAGACUGAGUGAAAUAUUUUCAAGGUACGGCAUCCCAGUCCAGGUUUGUAUAGACAACGGCCCACAGUUUAGCAGCCAAGAGUUUAUUAUUUUUGCAAAGCGUUACGACUUCAAACAUGUGACAUCAAGCCCGCAGUAUCCUCAACCAAACGGGCUCGCUGAGAAGGGUGUACAGGUGGUGAAACGUAUUCUAAAGAAAACAAAAGCUGCAGGAGAGUGUUUUUGGCUGGGCUUGUUAAAUUACAGGGCGAGUCCUGUUGAAGAUGGCCGGUCUCCUGGGGAACUGCUGCAAGGAAGGCGGCUGCGCACACCAUUGCCGGACUUCAAUCCAAUGUCGGCGACUGUCGUCAAGAAACACCAGCAGAGAAGUUAUCAUAGGCGCACCUUACCAGACCUCAGCAACAAUGACGCGGUACGCUUGAGUGGAACAUGGUGGGCCAGGAAAGCCAAGGUGGUCGGAUCGGCCGGCCCACGAUCCUUCUAUGUGCGCACAGAGAACAAUACUGUGCUGAGACGCAACCGUCGGCAUCUUCUGGCGACGAAGGAAUCGUAUGAGGUUGGCUCAUCAGACGACGAAGAUAUGACCGACAACCAGACCCCAUUUCAAGGUGUGGCGUCAACUACUACUGCAGCCUCACCCGUGGUAGCUCAACAGCCGUCGCCUCGGCCAUUGCGACGCAGUCAACGACAGACGCGGCAGCCAGAGCGUCUGGGUUAUGACCAGCGGUUCCAGCAGACGAGCCAGCGGCAUUAAUUUCGUCAUGUAAUUACUGUUUGGAAAGAGGAUGUAUCAUAUCUGAUGAGAGCGCAUGUGCUAUCUACAUGCACGAUUGCCACGUGCAUAUACCCGCCCCUCACUUUACUAACCCUUUCCACCUUCGUCUAUAAAUAACGAUGCAGAAUAAAGGCGUUGGUGAUUUCGCUUCUUGACAA